This 490-nucleotide ribosomal RNA is filed under the name uncultured bacterium. RNAcentral's name for it is "partial 16S ribosomal RNA". It matches the Rfam family "Bacterial small subunit ribosomal RNA", at positions 30 to 507 of the family's 1533-position model. The record is from RNAcentral.
AUUGAACGCUGGCGGCAGGCCUAACACAUGCAAGUCGAACAGUAACAGGAAGAAGCUUGCUUCUUUGCUGACGAGUGGCGGACGGGUGAGUAAUGUCUGGGAAACUGCCUGAUGGAGGGGGAUAACUACUGGAAACGGUAGCUAAUACCGCAUAACGUCGCAAGACCAAAGAGGGGGCCUUCCGGGCCCCUGUCCAUCGGAUGGGCCCGGAUGGGAUUAGCUAGUAGGUGGGGUAACGGCUCACCUAGGCGACGAUCCCUAGCUGGUCUGAGAGGAUGACCAGCCACACUGGAACUGAGACACGGUCCAGACUCCUACGGGAGGCAGCAGUGGGGAAUAUUGCACAAUGGGCGCAAGCCUGAUGCAGCCAUGCCGCGUGUAUGAAGAAGGCCUUCGGGUUGUAAAGUACUUUCAGCGGGGAGGAAGGGAGUAAAGUUAAUACCUUUGCUCAUUGACGUUACCCGCAGAAGAAGCACCGGCUAACUCCGUG